UACGUAGGGUGCAAGCGUUAAUCGGGAUUACUGGGCGUAAAGCGUGCGCAGGCGGUUAUGCAAGACAGAUGUGAAAUCCCCGGGCUCAACCUGGGAACUGCAUUUGUGACUGCAUGGCUAGAGUACGGUAGAGGGGGAUGGAAUUCCGUGUGUAGCAGUGAAAUGCGUAGAUAUGCGGAGGAACACCGAUGGCGAAGGCAAUCCCCUGGACCUGUACUGACGCUCAUGCACGAAAGCGUGGGGAGCAAACAGG
Molecule: ribosomal RNA, 253 nt
Filed under: uncultured bacterium
Lineage: Bacteria
Description: partial 16S ribosomal RNA
Rfam family: Bacterial small subunit ribosomal RNA
Source: RNAcentral